RNAcentral lists this transfer RNA (71 nucleotides) under Picumnus innominatus. Its description in RNAcentral is "tRNA-Val". It matches the Rfam family "tRNA". Rfam says of the family: Transfer RNA (tRNA) molecules are approximately 80 nucleotides in length. Their secondary structure includes four short double-helical elements and three loops (D, anti-codon, and T loops). Further hydrogen bonds mediate the characteristic L-shaped molecular structure. tRNAs have two regions of fundamental functional importance: the anti-codon, which is responsible for specific mRNA codon recognition, and the 3' end, to which the tRNAs corresponding amino acid is attached (by aminoacyl-tRNA synthetases). tRNAs cope with the degeneracy of the genetic code in two manners: having more than one tRNA (with a specific anti-codon) for a particular amino acid; and 'wobble' base-pairing, i.e. permitting non-standard base-pairing at the 3rd anti-codon position. Lineage: Eukaryota; Metazoa; Chordata; Aves; Piciformes; Picidae. The record is from RNAcentral.
CAAGAUGUAGCUAAGUACAAAGCACUCAGCUUACACCUGAGAGACACCUGCCACUACCCAGGUCAUCUUGA